GCCGGCUUAGCUCAGUUGGUAGAGCGGCUGAUUUGUAAUCAGUAGGUCGCGGGUUCGACUCCUGCAGCCGGCA
This is a non-coding RNA of Methyloceanibacter caenitepidi, 73 nucleotides long. The record is from Rfam. NCBI's taxonomy places the organism in Bacteria, Pseudomonadati, Pseudomonadota, Alphaproteobacteria, Hyphomicrobiales, Hyphomicrobiaceae.